AUGGCGGAGGCCGUCAUUGGGGCGCUGGUGGGGAAGCUGCAGGAGCUGGCGAUGAGCGAAGCCCGGGCAAUGGUGGCGGUGAACGAAGACAUACGGAGCCUCUGGGACAAGCUCAUGUGGAUGCAGGCCUUCCUCCGCGACGUCGAGCCACGGCGGCGCCUACAGAACGACGAGCUCAUCAGGGUUUGGCUCAUUGGCUGCAACAGACCCGCAGCGCGGUCUGAGGAUGCCGUCGACCAGUACAUCCUCCAGGUCGACCUCUCCAGGUGUGUGUGCUUUGCUCGCCGCUCCAAAUUAAACCGCCCGGCCCUUUCCAUGCAAAAUAAAGAAACUAUAUACUCCCUCCGUUUUUAUUUAUUUACUCUGCAUAUUGAAGUUGACUGGCAAGUUUGUAGAAAAUAA
This 402-nucleotide ribosomal RNA is filed under the name Triticum aestivum (bread wheat). Its description in RNAcentral is "partial small subunit ribosomal RNA". The record is from RNAcentral. Lineage: Eukaryota; Viridiplantae; Streptophyta; Magnoliopsida; Poales; Poaceae.